UACGUAGGGACCAAGCGUUGUUCGGAUUUACUGGGCGUAAAGGGCGCGUAGGCGGCUUAACAAGUCACUUGUGAAAUCUCCGGGCUUAACUCGGAACGGCCAAGUGAAACUGUCAAGCUAGAGUGCAGAAGGGCAAUCGGAAGUUCUUGGUGUAGCGGUGAAAUGACGUAGAUAUCAAGAGGAACACCUGAGGUGAAGACGGUGCUGGCUGACACUGACGCUGAGGCGCGAAAGCUAGGGGAGCAAACGGG
Molecule: ribosomal RNA, 251 nt
Filed under: uncultured bacterium
Lineage: Bacteria
Description: partial 16S ribosomal RNA
Rfam family: Bacterial small subunit ribosomal RNA
Source: RNAcentral